RNAcentral lists this long non-coding RNA (264 nucleotides) under Sorghum bicolor (sorghum). RNAcentral describes it as "long non-coding RNA (SBIC_LNC013715)". Lineage: Eukaryota; Viridiplantae; Streptophyta; Magnoliopsida; Poales; Poaceae. The record is from RNAcentral.
GGGGUGAAUAGGCGUAUCUAAAAAAUUCUACACAAAACUCAAAGUCACUUGUCAGCAACUGUCAGAAGUCCCGACAGUUUGGGUCACAACUUCCGACGUUGUCAGAAGUUCCAACGCUAACUGUCAGCAGUUCCGACACCUACGGGAAAUGAACUACAAGUGCUUAAAUGAACUUUGUGAGAUCCACAACUUACAACACCACUGUCUAGUGGUUAGAUGAGGAUGUUGAGAGCCUUUCUUGACACCAAGAGUCCCCCAAACCGU